RNAcentral lists this transfer RNA (77 nucleotides) under Bryobacteraceae bacterium. RNAcentral describes it as "tRNA-Val". It matches the Rfam family "tRNA". Rfam says of the family: Transfer RNA (tRNA) molecules are approximately 80 nucleotides in length. Their secondary structure includes four short double-helical elements and three loops (D, anti-codon, and T loops). The record is from RNAcentral. Lineage: Bacteria; Pseudomonadati; Acidobacteriota; Terriglobia; Bryobacterales; Bryobacteraceae. RNAcentral also lists the same sequence under 1 other name.
GGGCGCGUAGCUCAGUUGGUUAGAGCGCCUGCUUCACACGCAGGAGGUCCGCGGUUCGAGUCCGCGCGCGCCCACCA